This 527-nucleotide ribosomal RNA is filed under the name uncultured bacterium. Its description in RNAcentral is "bacterial SSU rRNA". It matches the Rfam family "Bacterial small subunit ribosomal RNA", at positions 355 to 896 of the family's 1533-position model. The record is from RNAcentral.
UGAGGAAUCUUCCACAAUGGGCGAAAGCCUGAUGGAGCAACGCCGCGUGAAGGAUGAAGGCCUUCGGGUUGUAAACUUCUUUUAUGAGUGAAGAAUAUGACGGUAACUCAUGAAUAAGCACCGGCUAACUACGUGCCAGCAGCCGCGGUCAUACGUAGGGUGCAAGCAUUAUCCGGAGUGACUGGGCGUAAAGAGUUGCGUAGGCGGUUUAAUAAGUGAAUAGUGAAACCUGGUGGCUCAACCAUACAGACUAUUAUUCAAACUGUUAAACUCGAGAAUGGUAGAGGUAACUGGAAUUUCUAGUGUAGGAGUGAAAUCCGUAGAUAUUAGAAGGAACACCGAUGGCGUAGGCAGGUUACUGGGCCAUUUCUGACGCUAAGGCACGAAAGCGUGGGGAGCGAACCGGAUUAGAUACCCGGGUAGUCCACGCCGUAAACGAUGGAUACUAGCUGUUGGAGGUAUCGACCCCUUCAGUAGCGAAGCUAACGCGUUAAGUAUCCCGCCUGUGGAGUACGGCCGCAAGGCUA